Molecule: ribosomal RNA, 497 nt
Filed under: uncultured bacterium
Lineage: Bacteria
Description: partial 16S ribosomal RNA
Rfam family: Bacterial small subunit ribosomal RNA
Source: RNAcentral
GAUGAACGCUGGCGGCGUGCCUAAUACAUGCAAGUCGAGCGAACGGACGAGACGCUUGCUUCUCUGAUGUUAGCGGCGGACGGGUGUGUCACACGUGUAUCACCUCCCUAUAAGACUGGGAUAACUUCGGGACACCGUAGCUAAUCCCGGAUAAUCUUUUGAACCGCAUGGUUCAAUAGUGAAAGACGGUCUUGCUGUCACUUCUAGAUGGAUCCGCGCUGCAUUAGCUAGUUGGUAAGGUAACGGCUUACCAAGGCAACGAUGCAUAGCCGACCUGAGAGGGCGAUCGGCCACACUGGAACGGAGACACGGUCCAGACUCCUACGGGAGGCAGCAGUAGGGAAUCUGCCGCAAUGGGCGAAAGCCUGACGGAGCAAGGCCGCGUGAGUGAUGAAGGUCUUCGGAUCGGAAAACUCUGUUAUUAGGGAAGAACAGAUGUGUAAGUAACUGUGCAGAGCGUGACGGUACCUAAUCAGAAAGCCACGGCUAACUACGUG